AGAAGGAGAUCAGAUAAUCAGAGGCAAGGAAACUUUGAGAUGGUGCGAGUACUUUUACUGUAUCCAGCACAAGGUGCAACCAUUCAACACUGGUUUUGAUUGCAUGAUCUGAUACAAAUUUAUUGUGAUGUGGUGUUAGACCUUGCGCAGUUUUUCAUUAUAAGUAGAUAAAGUUUAGGCAUAAAACCCGUGAACCUCUAAUUCUUGCAACUAUGAACUGAGAUACACAGCUAAGUUGCAGUUUAUAAUAUUGCUAUGACUAUUGAGCCAUGGACUCAAAGUACCUGAGAUUUCUGCAUAUGCCUCUUUAUGUUGCCUAAAAUAGGAACAAAUGCAAUAUAAUUCAAAUAUUGUGACAGAUCUCGAACUGUCUUUGGUAGCAGCAGCAUAAUAAAUGUAGAAGUUAAACAGACUGUCAAGUCUGAAGUAGGAUCAAUGAGUUCCUGAGGCUCGUCUGCCUCAGGUGCUUUCAAGGCACAACUGCAAUUGUUGACUUGCAUAUAUCCUGAGGCAUCUCUUUAGAAGGUGCCUUCAAGGCUAGCCGGUGGAACGGCAGGCAGAUUUCUCAGCCUGUUCAAAGUGUUCAGGGGAAAAAAAGAAAGGCCCUGGAGCUGACCCAGCACAAGAGCAUGAAGAAUCGGAGCAGUUCCAGACACUGCAGGAUGAUGCAGCCCUGGACCGGACACAAGAGCAGGAACCCGCCCGUGGCCGCUUCCGCAAAAGCCUGAAGAUGUUCCCGAAGUUCCUGCGCAUUCAGCGUAGGAAGACCGGCAAGCACAGCAGCUGAG
Long non-coding RNA from Vidua chalybeata, 788 nucleotides. RefSeq lists it as uncharacterized. The transcript has 3 exons. Lineage: Eukaryota; Metazoa; Chordata; Aves; Passeriformes; Viduidae. The record is from RefSeq and is a predicted model, not a curated record.